RNAcentral lists this ribosomal RNA (1757 nucleotides) under fermentation metagenome. RNAcentral describes it as "bacterial LSU rRNA". It matches the Rfam family "Bacterial large subunit ribosomal RNA", at positions 415 to 2290 of the family's 2925-position model. The record is from RNAcentral.
GGGCGGGACACGUGAAAUCCUGUCUGAACAUGGGGGGACCACCCUCCAAGCCUAAGUACUCCUCUACGACCGAUAGUGAACAAGUACCGUGAGGGAAAGGUGAAAAGCACCCCGACAAGGGGAGUGAAACAGAUCCUGAAAUCGGAAGCCUACAAGCAGUCGGAGCCCCCAAGCGGGGUGACGGCGUACCUUUUGUAUAAUGGGUCAGCGACUUCAUGUGUCGAGCAAGCUUAAGCCGUUAGGUGUAGGCGCAGCGAAAGCGAGUCUGAAUAGGGCGCUAAGUUCGACGUAUGACGACCCGAAACCAGGUGAUCUAUCCAUGAGCAGGAUGAAGGUUAGGUAACACUAACUGGAGGUCCGAACCCGUGAAUGUUGAAAAAUUCUGGGAUGACUUGUGGAUAGGGGUGAAAGGCCAAUCAAACCUGGACAUAGCUGGUUCUCCGCGAAAUCUAUUUAGGUAGAGCGUCCGACGAAUUCCUUGGGGGGUAGAGCACUGGAUGGUUGCGGGCUGCGCGAGCGGUACCAAUACUAACCAAACUCCGAAUACCCAAGAGAACUAUCGGGCAGACACACGGCGGGUGCUAACGUCCGUCGUGAAAAGGGAAACAACCCUAACCAUCAUCUAAGGCCCCCAAGUCAUGGCUAAGUGGGAAACGAUGUGGGAUUGCUUUGACAAUCAGGAGGUUGGCUUAGAAGCAGCCAUCCUUUAAAGAAAGCGUAACAGCUCACUGAUCAAGCGAUCCUGCGCGGAAAAUGUAACGGGGCUCAAGCCAUGCGCCGAAGAUAUGGGUUUGCAGUUUACUGCAAGCGGUAGCGGAGCGUUCCGUAAGCCUGUGAAGGUCAACCGUGAGGUUGGCUGGAGGUAUCGGAAGUGAGAAUGCUGACAUGAGUAACGAUAAACAGUGUGAGAAACACUGUCGCCGAAAGACCAAGGGUUCCUGCGUAAAGCUAAUCUGCGCAGGGUUAGUCGGCCCCUAAGGCGAGGCUGAAAAGCGUAGUCGAUGGGAAGCAGGUAAAUAUUCCUGCACCAGCUGGAAGUGACGGAUGGCAUAAGUCGUCGGGGCUUAUUGGAUUGUUCCCGGCGGUGGCGUUGUCCCUGGAAAUAACUCCAGCAGAGACCGUACCCGAAACCGACACAGGUGGUCAGGUAGAGCAUACCAAGGCGCUUGAGAGAACUGUGCUGAAGGAACUCGGCAAAUUGCACGCGUAACUUCGGAAUAAGCGUGACUCACCUUGCGCAAGCAGGAAUGAGUGGCACAAGCCAGGGGGUAGCGACUGUUUAGCAAAAACACAGGGCUCUGCGAAGCAGCAAUGCGACGUAUAGGGUCUGACGCCUGCCCGGUGCCUGAAGGUUAAAGGGAGGAGUGAAAGCUCCGAACUGAAGCCCAGGUAAACGGCGGCCGUAACUAUAACGGUCCUAAGGUAGCGAAAUUCCUUGUCGGGUAAGUUCCGACCUGCACGAAUGGCGUAACGACUUCCCCACUGUCUCCAGCACAGGCUCAGUGAAAUUGAAUUCCCCGUGAAGAUGCGGGGUUCCCGCGGUCAGACGGAAAGACCCUAUGAACCUUUACUAUAGCUUCGCCUUGGCGUUAGCGACCGUAUGUGUAGGAUAGGUGGGAGGCUAUGAAGCCGGGGCGCCAGCUCUGGUGGAGCCAUCCUUGAAAUACCACCCUUACUGUCGUUGACGUCUAACCGAGGGCCGUUAUCCGGUCCCGGGACAUGGCGUGGUGGGUAGUUUGACUGGGGCGGUCGCCUCC